This is a long non-coding RNA of Eriocheir sinensis (Chinese mitten crab), 1076 nucleotides long. RefSeq lists it as uncharacterized. NCBI's taxonomy places the organism in Eukaryota, Metazoa, Arthropoda, Malacostraca, Decapoda, Varunidae. The record is from RefSeq and is a predicted model, not a curated record. The transcript has 3 exons.
AGUAACCUUGCUGGAAGCCCCGCGGGCCGCAGUGUGUGGCUGGCGUUAUACAGCCCCCAGCCAUCGCCUGGAGGUCAUCCAGUGUCUGUUAUCACUCACCUUAGGUAGUCUGUGAAGGUCCAGUCAUCACUGGUGCACGUGUAUCUUACCUGUGAUCAACACCGGCAGCCACAGACUCCUGCCCAAUGAACGAACACAGUGAUCGUGAUGACAUUGACAACAACGAGCAAGUCCUCCUAGACCUAGAGUGACCUCAAGCUGGGCCAAACAUGAUGUGGAAGAAGAAAUCGGUUGUCUCCAUCAGUCGGGUUUGUGCCAUGGCAGCUUUCUCCAGCUGUCCGGCAGAGGUCCAGUCCAUGCCAUGGAGAAAUUCAGCCCCCAACAAUGAGAUGGCAUGCCAGAGAUGGAUCCGCAGCUUCUCCUCCAAUCAAUCAAUCCUUGCAAUGCCCUUUCUCUUUUCUCUCCUUCUGUACCACCAUGCUUAUACAUAACUGAUCCAAGGUACUUAAACUCAUUAACCUCUUCCAUUUCUUCACCAUUCAAAAUUAUUUUGCAUUCUUUUUCACAUUCAAUGCCCACUCUAUAUGGGCAUACAAAAUCUACAACCUCCCUUCUACUCCGCUCACAAACCAUCACUUUACUUUUGUUGACAUUUACUUUCAACUUUCUCCUUUUACAUACACUAUCAAAAACACUGACCAAAUUUUGUAAGUCACUUUCAUUUUCUGCAAUGAGCACCGUGUCAUCAGCAAAUAAGAUUGAAUUCAUCACCCACUUCCUUCCCUCCCUCGGCAUACAUUUUUACUUCAAUUUCCCCAACUUUGCCCUUCAUUUCUCAUAACACCGUCCAUAUAAAUAUUGAACAACCACGAUGACAUGACACACCCCUGCCUUAGCCCACUUUCAUCUCAAAAUGUUCACGUGUUUCUCCACUAAUUUUGACACAUGCAGAUGCAUCCUCAUAGAAAGACUUUAUUGCAUAAAUCAGUUUUCCUCCCACACCAUAUAUCUUUAAGACGUCCCACAAUGCCAGCCAAUCGACUCUGUCAUAAACUUUCUCUAGAAUAACUAGAUCC